GGUAUCGCCGUUAGUCAUGUGCAAAUAUGGAUAGCUGUUUUAGCCGUCUUUAUUGACUGGUUUAUAAGAGUUAUCAGAUAUCACUUUGAUUAAAUUAGAGUGCUUAAAGCAAGUGUGUUACUUGGAUAUAAAUGCAUGGAAUGAUGGAAUAUGUUGUUAUUCUAUUUGUUGGUUUUUGAAUGGUAAAAUGAUUGAAAGGAACUGUUGGGGGCAUUCGUAUUGUUGUGAGAGAGGUGAAAUUCUUAGACCACAGCAAGACGAACUACUGCGAAAGCAUUUGCCAAGAAUGUUUUCAUUGAUCAAGAACGAAAGUUAGAGGUUCGAAGGCGAUCAGAUACCGCCCUAGUUCUAACCAUAAACUAUGCCAACUAGCAAUUUGCUUUGUAUUUUUUAUGACUAAGUGAGAGGCCACGGGAAACCUAAGUAGGGUUAUGGGGGAAGUAUGGUUGCAAAGCUGAAACUUAAAGGAAUUGACGGAAGGGCACCACCAGGAGUGGAGCCUGCUGCUUAAUUUGACUCAACACGGGAAAACUUACCUGGUCCUGACACUAGAAGGAUUGACAGAUUGAUAGCUCUUUCUUGAUUUGGUGGAUGGUGGUGCAUGGCCGUUCUUAGUUGGUGGAGUGAUUUGUCUGGUUAAUUCCGAUAACGAACGAGACUCUAGCCUAUUAAAUAAUACACGGAAUUUUAUCUUCCGCGGUAUUUCUUAGUGGGAUCAAGCG
This 722-nucleotide ribosomal RNA is filed under the name uncultured eukaryote. Its description in RNAcentral is "SSU rRNA". It matches the Rfam family "Eukaryotic small subunit ribosomal RNA", at positions 672 to 1426 of the family's 1831-position model. The record is from RNAcentral.